UGCGGAGGGAUCAUUACCGAGUUAUACAACUCAUCAACCCUGUGAACAUACCUAAAACGUUGCUUCGGCGGGAACAGACGGCCCCGUAACACGGGCCGCCCCCGCCAGAGGACCCCCUAACUCUGUUUCUAUUAUGUUUCUUCUGAGUAAAACAAGCAAAUAAAUUAAAACUUUCAACAACGGAUCUCUUGGCUCUGGCAUCGAUGAAGAACGCAGCGAAAUGCGAUAAGUAAUGUGAAUUGCAGAAUUCAGUGAAUCAUCGAAUCUUUGAACGCACAUUGCGCCCGCCAGUAUUCUGGCGGGCAUGCCUGUUCGAGCGUCAUUACAACCCUCAGGCCCCCGGGCCCGGCGUUGGGGAUCGGCGAGGCGCCCCCUGCGGGCACACGCCGUCCCCCAAAUACAGUGGCGGUCCCGCCGCAGCUUCCAUUGCGUAGUAGCUAACACCUCGCAACUGGAGAGCGGCGCGGCCACGCCGUAAAACACCCAACUUCUGAAUGUUGACCUCGAAUCAGGUAGGAAUACCCGCUGAACUUAAG
This 536-nucleotide unclassified non-coding RNA is filed under the name Fusarium solani. RNAcentral's name for it is "sequence contains ITS1, 5.8S rRNA gene, ITS2". The stretch from base 169 to 322 matches the Rfam family "5.8S ribosomal RNA". The record is from RNAcentral. Lineage: Eukaryota; Fungi; Ascomycota; Sordariomycetes; Hypocreales; Nectriaceae.